Molecule: long non-coding RNA, 2555 nt
Organism: Poecile atricapillus (Black-capped chickadee)
Lineage: Eukaryota; Metazoa; Chordata; Aves; Passeriformes; Paridae
Exons: 3
Source: RefSeq, a predicted model, not a curated record
AGGGAAGAAUUAGGAGGGAAAAUUUAAAAAACAAAAGCGCAUCGCUGGGCUGCUGCUCGGAGGGAGACUUACCUGAGAGGCAGGCACGGGCGAGCCGCACGGACGAGAAUUUAUCUGACUUCUGGGGAAAAGAAAGCAAACAAACAUGGAAAAAAAAUCACCUCUGGACCCCCUGAAAUCGCCUGCUCCCGUGCACAGCUCCUGCAGAGAUUCUCAGCACUGCGGCCACGGAGCCAGGGGGCCACGGUUCGGGGGUCCCAGCCGGGGGCUCCCCCACCCGGGCCAGAAGACGCCGGUCCCUGGGCUGGCGACAGCAAGGACAAGUUAAAGAGCCACCAAAGAGGAGCAAGGAGACCUCGGUGGCUCGUCUCCUUCUCAGUUCCCUGCGCCAAAACAAAUCAGCCCCUCCUGGUCUCGGUUUAAAUGUAGCUCACUGGAUAAUUAACUCCAUCUUUCCAGCCCUGCUUUAACUGUUUAUUUAGUGUCACCCCGUAUUACCAUCACUAGCACUUUCCUCUGAACAGGAGGAGCUGGAGGGUUUCACCUCCCAAAAGGAAAUUCUUCGUAGCUUAAAAGAAUCGGCAUCCAGGAGGUACAUUAGCGAAGAAGAGAGGGGGGGACGCGAUCUGGGGGUCCCAUGGCAAAAGCAGGAGGAAAUAAGGGUGGAGGUGGGGGGACAGGGACAGAAAGACGUAUCGGCCCUCGGAGAGAAAAAAACAACGCGUGAUCACCUCUAAUCCUUUGAAAAAUGUCCCGGUGUCGGGAGGGCAAUUUACUAACAAGUAAUUAAAGGUCGCACCGGUUUGCAGGCGAGCCGGGCCAGAGGCUCCCGCAAGAGAAGAGCGGUGCAUCUGGAGAGGGAACAGCAAGUGGAUGGGAAAGAAGCCUCUACAACACAAACCUCAUUGACUUAAUGGGUCGGUUUUGGAUUUCGCCUUCGAAAUGUUCGGCGAGCGGCAGCGUUGUGUUUCUGCCCCGCCGGCUCCCAGCCUCCAGCCCCGGUUCUCAUGCCGACGAGAAGCGGCUCCCAAAACCCCGCUUCUGGUUUUAUUUUGUUGCGCUAUUUGUUUCCUCCAGACCCUCACACUUAAGGAAAAAAAGAUUAAAUUUUACUUUUGAUUGGGGGAGAGCUUUAUUUCUAAGCUCGGGAGGAGAUGGGGGAUGUAUUUGGUUUACUUUUUUUUUUCUGCUUUGUUUUGAUUUUCUGGCGAAAUCGAGGAAAAACCCGCAGCGCGUUGCGUGGGCUCCAUCUUCAUCCCCGCCCUACGUUGUACAAAUACAUCAAAUAAAUAAGGGAAUAAAUGAAUUUCCCGCACAAACAGAACCGAUGGGUGUCCAGGCAAUGUCGGGGGCGAGCAGCGGAGGCCCCCUCGUUCGGUCGCCACCUCUCCGUGGGUGCGGAGGGGCCAGGCCCCGGCGGCGGGGGCAGCCCCGGGGAGCUCCGGCCGGACGGGGAGAGGGGUGAUGCUGCCGGGUGAUGCUGCCGGGUGAUGCUGCCGGGGUGAUGCUGCCGGGGUGAUGCUGCCCGGGUGAUGCUGCCGGGCUGCUCCUGCUCCUGCGGCAAAGGAAGGACCGAGAGGGGCCGGCGGCAGCUCCGCGCUGUUGUGGCUUUCGGUGGUUUUUCGCUUGUUCGCAUCUGCCUUGUUUAUGUUUUUAUUUUUUGAGAGGCUCGAAACUAUCUUGUUGUUGUUGUUGUUGUUGCUUUUGUGAUUUUUCAAGGACUAAAUGUGAUGGGGUGUUCUGGAAAUACAUUUGCCUCUUUCCCUGGUUCAAAAUGAAAGGUUCCCAAUUUUUAGGAAAGCCAACCCAGGAGAUUUAACGAACAUUGAUGCUCAGCGGUCCUUGCCUGCAGCAGCUCCCAGGUAGACCCCGGCGGGUCUGUCCCCUCGUUUUGUGAAUUUUGAUGAGACGGAAGAAUAAAGACCCUCUGAAGAAUCGCGAGGAAGCCUCCGCUCAGCCCUCGCCCGUGUCUGUCAGCUCUUCAGCCGGCCGCAUCGGGAUCAUUUUCUUAUUCCCAGCAAGAUCGGUGUUUGUUUUCGUCGGCCUUUUACAGGAGGAAAAAAAAAGAAAAAAAGAACAAAAAAACCCCCCAAAACAAGGAGAACUGCGAGGGCAAGAGAAGCCCGUUCUCGUUACAAUGCUCAGGGGCUUCCCCAGUCCCGCUUUGCGUUUCUCUCCUCCUCAUCCAGAAGUUACAAACCCUCAGGUCCGUGCUCUUCCCGAGCUGAGCCCCUCACUAGAAAGAAGAAAAUAAAAUUUAAAAUUAAUAACGAUAGAAACGAGGGAUGGGGGAAGCCACCCCCAGGCUGGGCAGGGCGCUGCUCCUCCAGGACGCGGCCGCGGGCGAGCCCAUGCCUUAUAAUUCUGCGCACUUGCUCCAGACUUUAGGGUAUUAGUUGAUUUUAGAGCCGGGUUUAAGGCUUCGUUCCGGUCCCCACACAGCUGCCUUGUCAAUAAGGAUCUGUUCCAAGUAGACAUUCCUUCUGGGAGGACAUUGCAGCUCUUUAAGACUUCAUCUGCAACAUCAUAAGUACUAAAAUAAAAUGGCAAGGGAA